GGCUUGUUGGCGAUGUGGUCAGUGCGUUUGACUCUUACCUGGGAGUCUGGGGUUCAAUUCCCCAUCCAGGCCC
Gymnothorax javanicus (giant moray) is the source of this 73-nucleotide non-coding RNA. NCBI's taxonomy places the organism in Eukaryota, Metazoa, Chordata, Actinopteri, Anguilliformes, Muraenidae. The record is from the annotation of a GenBank genome assembly.